Molecule: small nucleolar RNA, 224 nt
Filed under: Neogale vison (American mink)
Lineage: Eukaryota; Metazoa; Chordata; Mammalia; Carnivora; Mustelidae
Description: Neovison vison (American mink) Small nucleolar RNA SNORA73 family (ENSNVIG00000010948.1)
Source: RNAcentral
UUUACGUGCUCAUAUGGCGAAAGCUUUUUCUACUAAUAUUUGUGGAGAAGACACUUAAGAUUUGUAUUUUUGUCCACCAUAGAUAGAGGCUCUGCCCGUGAUGUUCAGUCCUUUCCCGCAAGGUCAGAGAUUAGAGCUGCAAUGUGGUCUGUUCCUGCACAUUCCUACAGCUUCUCAGAGACCUGUGGACAAUGCUGAAGAGAUGGGCCAUGCAGGAAAGACCC